Non-coding RNA from Chelonoidis abingdonii (Abingdon island giant tortoise), 2148 nucleotides. NCBI's taxonomy places the organism in Eukaryota, Metazoa, Chordata, Testudines, Testudinidae. The record is from RefSeq and is a predicted model, not a curated record.
AUUUGGGAACCACUGGGCUAGAGGAUACAAUUUACAGUAUCCAAGAGACAUUUUAUUUUGCAAAGGGGACCAAUAUGUACUGGGGCACAAAUGAGAGUUCUGUGACUGAGUGAGGAAAGUUGUAAAUGCAACUAUUUUUGGGUGCCCAACGUGGUAAUAUAUGUAGGAAAAUUUAAAGCCAAUCCCUUCCUGCAGUGACAAGACAUGAGUAACCACUCCAGCUAUAGUCCCAGUAAAAGAAAUCAAAUAAUUCAUACAUUGAUUAAAGUGUGACACUGUCUUAUUAUUCCAUCAGCAUACUAUGUGCAUGCCAGCAAAGAAAAAAUAUUGAAAGAGAAAAGAAGAACUCUUUUUACUGUUAGUUAAGUGAGCUCCUGCAGCUGUAAGAUGCCAUAUACACUUGAUGCAGGAACUGACAACAUUCAAAUCCAACAGCAAUAGUCAGUUAAAACAUUUCAACUAAGGCAGUUUACCAAUGCAAAACCUACUGUUCUUAAGAUCAGAACUUACACAAUUAAGGCUUUGCUGCUGCUGUCACCAAUGAGAUCCAUGAGAAAUUUCAGAUGAAGAAUGCUUAUUGUAAUGGAACUGGGAACUUUAACAAGGCAGAAUCAACAUUAGUAACAAACAAUAAGUUUUGAUUCUUCUUGGUCCCAGGAUAUUAGACACACAAGGUGGGGGAGAUAUUUUAUUGAACCAACUCCUGUUGGUGAAAACAACAAGGUUUCUCACAUACACAGAGCUAUUAUUCAGAUAUUACCUCACCCACCUUGUCUCUCCACGUUUUAAUUCUGACAAAGAGAUUGUUUAAGUCACUCAAAUUAACCCAAGAUUUCAUUCAAUAGAGCAGCACUGGUUUGCUUGGAGCUUUACUGUCUUGUUGUAGGAUUCUAUAGGCUGGAAAGAAGCAGAUCUAGUGCUCACAUUCAGAGAAAUUAUUCCUUUAGGCUCCAAAUUGUACAUAAGGUACAUAAGACUGUGAGUAGUUCUAUGGACAUGAAUGAUGGCUUUAAUUAGGAAUUUUAGUAAUUACAAUUAGUAGGGUUUUUGUUUUUAAAUGAGAGCCUCAACAGCAGGUGGUUUGCAUUUCUCUUUCUUGAAGUUCCUCUUUAAAUAUAUCAUUAAAUUAGAAAAAGCAAGUCCAAUUCAGAGCAACAUUAAGGCUGCGCAAUCGUCGCUAAAAGGCAAAAAAAAUAAAAUAAUUAAGGUUCCAACAGUAACAUUAACUUGGCUUCAUUACACUUACUGUAUGUCUUAUGAUAUACAUCUUUUUACAUCAUACAAUAUUAUAGAGAACUGGAAAACAGUCAUAAAAUAGAAUACAUAGAUACAACAUCUACGUUUGUGUUGUUUUUGGAACCUUAAAUUCUGCACUUCCUGACUUUAGGUGACUUUAAGCAAACAACCUUAAUAAUGCAUUGUAUUAACAUAAUUUUUUCACUUUAUUUCUGAUUUUUUUCUAAAGAAAAAAAAAUCUAAAAGUAGGGCUAAUGCUUAAGUUGUUAACAUAUGUGACAUCUGUAAACUCUUUCAAGAGCUUAAGCCACAUAUACAGUUUACUCUAAAAACAACUGGUCUAAAGCUUACAUUAUGAAGUUGCAUGUUUGUUUCUAAACAUAAAAUUUGCUCAGUUUACAAGAUUUUUUUUUUUUUUUUUUAAAUCCAAUCCUCCUGCCAGAAACCCUGCCAGGCUUGCAAAUUCAACUUGGGAUCUGAAAGUCAAGCUGUUUUUCUUUCCAUCUUGUUAACUAUGGUCAAUAAUGAAUUGUGCAGAACAAUUUGUCCUCUGUUACACCUGUGCAACUCCAAUGUUAUCUUCUACUUUCUUUCACCCUUGACCUCAAUAGAGUGAGACUACAAUCUUGCAACUCUCACGUUUAACAAUUCUGUUGAUUAUGCCCCAACCCAGUAUGGAAUCUAGCCAAGUCUUCUAGUAAUACAGCAGUAUUGAUAAGAAUAAAAAGUACUACAAGUUUAUCUUAUUAAAUUAAGUAGAUAUUACUGAAAAAGACAUGGAGCAAGUCCAUUAAGUAAGAGAUGACAAUUUUUACAGAGUUACUCGAGACUAGAGCAGUAGUCUCCAACCUUUUUCGUCUGGCAGGCGCCAGAUGACGAGCCACAGCGGACCGUAGCGGCGGACGAGCAUCC